UCCCCUGUAGCUCAGCUGGUAGAGCAAGCGGCUGUUAACCGCUGGGUCGUAGGUUCGAGUCCUACCGGGGGAGC
This 74-nucleotide transfer RNA is filed under the name Rubinisphaera italica. RNAcentral describes it as "Planctomycetes bacterium Pan54 tRNA-Asn". It matches the Rfam family "tRNA". From Rfam's summary of the family: Transfer RNA (tRNA) molecules are approximately 80 nucleotides in length. Their secondary structure includes four short double-helical elements and three loops (D, anti-codon, and T loops). The record is from RNAcentral. Lineage: Bacteria; Pseudomonadati; Planctomycetota; Planctomycetia; Planctomycetales; Planctomycetaceae.